AUUGAACGCUGGCGGCAGGCCUAACACAUGCAAGUCGAGCGGAUGAAGGGAGCUUGCUCCUGGAUUCAGCGGCGGACGGGUGAGUAAUGCCUAGGAAUCUGCCUGGUAGUGGGGGAUAACGUCCGGAAACGGGCGCUAAUACCGCAUACGUCCUGAGGGAGAAAGUGGGGGAUCUUCGGACCUCACGCUAUCAGAUGAGCCUAGGUCGGAUUAGCUAGUUGGUGGGGUAAAGGCCUACCAAGGCGACGAUCCGUAACUGGUCUGAGAGGAUGAUCAGUCACACUGGAACUGAGACACGGUCCAGAAUCCUACGGGAGGCAGCAGUGGGGAAUAUUGGACAAUGGGCGAAAGCCUGAUCCAGCCAGGCGGCGUGUGUGAAGAAGGUCUGCGGAUUGUAAAGCACUUUAAGUUGGGAGGAAGGGCAGUAAGUUAACACCUCGCUGUUUGGACGUUACCAACAGAAUAAGCACCGGCUAACUUCGU
This 483-nucleotide ribosomal RNA is filed under the name uncultured bacterium. Its description in RNAcentral is "partial 16S ribosomal RNA". It matches the Rfam family "Bacterial small subunit ribosomal RNA", at positions 30 to 506 of the family's 1533-position model. The record is from RNAcentral.